Long non-coding RNA from Capsicum annuum, 1001 nucleotides. RefSeq lists it as uncharacterized. NCBI's taxonomy places the organism in Eukaryota, Viridiplantae, Streptophyta, Magnoliopsida, Solanales, Solanaceae. The record is from RefSeq and is a predicted model, not a curated record. The transcript has 2 exons.
GUUGUAUAAUACGCAUUCCAAGACAUUUAUGGUAAACAAAAAUAUUAUAUUCUAGGAAAAUAUAUUUUAGUUCAAAGAUGUGUUGUCAUCAUCUAAUCCAAUGUUUCCUAUGCUAAAGUUGAUUUCCUCAGAGCAUAUCAUGCUUCUUUCUUUACUAUUGAGUCCUUUUCUGAACUAUCUACUUCUAUUCUUGGUGUUGAUAUUAAUAUUUCCCCUAUUCUAGACCAUAACAUGUCACCGUACCAGUCAUUUUCUUCUCUUGCACCAGUACAUAAUUCCAGUUCUCUAGUGGUUAAACCUCAAAGACCUGGUUCUACCAGUGUUUUUCCUACUCUUGCUAGACCAUCUAGAGCUUGCAGUCCUCCAUUUUGGUUGCAGGACUAUGUUCAGCCUAAAAAAAAGCUUCUUUCUCUCAUGCUUUGGCUCAGUUUUUAUCUUAUGCUAAUAUUUCUCCUGCAUAUAAAAAGGUUUUAGCUACAUGUGUUGUUCAUUCUAAGCCUAUCUUCUAUAAAGUUUCUUUACAAGAUCCUAGGUAAGCAUGAUGAAAAAGAGUUGAGAAAAAGCUAGAAAGGAAGGGAAAUGGCCAAAAGAUUGAUAAAGGUUGCAGAUAAGCUCCAUGAGACGGCCCUCAGGUGUUGCGAUCACAACCUGAGGGUCGUGAUCGUAGUCAGUCCAAAAAUUCAGGGGUGGCAAUCUCAAUAUGAUGCCACGCGAUCGCAAAACCGCGACCGCAAUUGGGGGAAUGCGAUCACGACAGGUAGAACAGAUUUUAGGGGCAAAAUUGAAAAUUCACAGAGCUCAGUCCCAAAAUAUAAAAGGAUGAAACCUCAAUGUUUUACAUAUCCAAUUUUCCAGUCUUAGAGAGAAAAAACACUUUAUAUUGAAUGAAGAAACAAUUGCUGGUAUUAUUCCAAGAGAGAUUUGGUUGUAAAUUUAAAUUGAUGUUUGGAUUUAUACUUAUUUUGCUUAUGAUGAAUGAAUUGCAUGCCAAUUUGGAUAUA